Molecule: RNA transcript, 2978 nt
Organism: Capsicum annuum
Lineage: Eukaryota; Viridiplantae; Streptophyta; Magnoliopsida; Solanales; Solanaceae
Exons: 7
Source: RefSeq, a predicted model, not a curated record
CCUCAGACCUUUCCUUUACAGACCCUUCAACAUCUGAGCUAUGUUGCCUCCAUAUUUCAAUUGCCACUUUCUCACUCUUGCUCUCUGGAUCAUCAGUGUUGUGCCUGAAAUCAUUUUAUGCUUCCUAUCAUCAACUUUCAAGAACGGUUGUAGAUCCUUUGUUUGCUGAGGGUGCACGUCGUGAAUGAUGAAUCUCAUGACUAGGUGGAUCCGUGGUGAAGUGCAAGGGAUGCUUCACAUUGUUGCCUCAUAGUGAUGGGAUUCAUCUCCAGUUUUAUCUUUUCCAAAUCGACCCUAGCUCCUCCCAGAGUACCUAGUCCUUUUUGAAGGCUGAAGUAGCCUAGGCUAGCUAAAAUUUCAGUUUUUGUAGCCCGGUGACUUUUGUAAAUAUAUGUCAAGUGAUACACUAUAUGGUUUAGCCUCCUUUGCCCAUUUAUCCCUUUAAUGGAGAUGCUCGUAGAUAUGGGCUCUGAAGUUUAUCACUAUUGAUUAUAUUUCUUCUUGCUAGUUCUAAGCUUUUAAAAUGUUUAUAUUUGCAUUGUCCAUUGUUAAUUGCCUGAUCAGCCAGAUAGUCUGCCAAUUUGUUCCCUUCUCUGAAUGCGUGUUGUAUUAAAAAAUUCCUGCCUUGUAUGUUGGCUUUGAUAUUUGCUAGUAGUUCUGAUAUGGUCCAUGGACAUUCUCAUUCAUCUAUUAGAACCUUCAUUAACAAAGAAUCUGUUUGAAAAACUACCUAGUCAUAAUUUGCUUGUUUACAGUGUACCCUAGCUUUUAGCAAAGCCAUUGCUUCUGCUAAUGUAUUUGUAGUGUUUUUCAUUAUAUUAGCCUCUGCAUAAAUUUGAUCCCCUUCUUCAUUUCUCUAAUAAUAAGCAUAUGAACUUGAUCUUGGAUUUCUCUUGAUGGCCCAUCUUUGUUAUAUUUGAUCCAACCUGCUGGUGGAAAAUCCCAUAUAAUCUUAGUAAUUUUCAGCCUCGUUUUGUAUUCUUGCUGUUCUUUUAACAAUCUUGGUCACUCCCAUGAAAAGGUUCUUUUAGGUUGUCAUACUUUAAUCAACUAAUGCAUGAAAUUCAGUACAUUAUGAAUAAUUCUUUGACUAGUCAUUCUCUUUCCUUAAUGUUUGUUGUUAUUUCUUCUUCUCCAUAGCUCCCACACUAUCAAGUUUGGUAGAACCCUGUAAUAUGGCUGAAGACUAUUUUUCACCUCUGCUUCCCACCAUAGCAUUAUUACCUCUCUAAGAGAAAGGCCUUCUGAAUUCAAACCUGCAAAAGAAGAAAAAUAGGACCAUAUCCUAUUAGCUAUAUUGGAUCUCAAGAAAACAUGAUUCAUAGUCUCCUGAGAUGGAUUCUCUCAACACCAACAUUUAGAUAGUCCUUCCAUCCCCCAUCUUUUGAAUCUGUCAUCCAUAGGGAUUUUUAAUUUCCAAAGUCUCCUCAUAAGAAAUGCCACUUUGAAUAGCAAUCCCUUAACUCAUAUACACUUAUAAAUUUUGUUUUCCUUUUCCUUGUGUCUAAUGUACUGCCAAGUUGUUUUAACUGUAAAUAUUCCUUUGGUAUCCAACAUCCAGACAGGAAUAUUAUUAGUCCCUCCACUCCUUGGUGGCUAGAUAUUCUGAAUAAUGUAGCCAGACAUCUCUUAAGGAAUAAUCUGCUGCAGUCUUUCUCUGUCCCAUUCAUCAUUCUUAAUCAACUCACUGACUUUAUUAUAAUAAUGAUCCCAUUCUACAUUCUCCUCUGUGAUAGUUUAUAGAUUUCCUAUACCUGUCCAAUUAUCAUGCCAGAAUGACACAUCCCCCAAUUUAGUAUUCUAUCCAAUCUGAUGUUCUACUAAAUCCCUAGCUUGUAGCAUCUUUUUCCACACCUUUGAUCCUCCACCUACCUUCCACAUUAUAAAAUUUCAAUAUUCACUAAAAAAAAACGUGUAAAAUAGCGGGAGUUUAUUUUCGGGGGUUAUUUUAACCUCUGUAAAAUUAUAUGAAAUGCGGAGGUUAAAAAUCUGCCGUUAUUAUUUAUAAAAUUGCGGGGGUUUAAACUCCUACUAUAAAUUAUGGGGAUUUUAAACCCCCGCUAUCAAUAAAAACAAAUAGAGCUUUAUACCAUUAUACCAUUAAAACUUGUAAAAAAGAUCUCCCUCUUUUUUUUUCAAUUAGCCAAAAUUUUCCCUUAUUUUUUAAUUCCUCCAAAUAUCCCUCUCUCUCUCAUUUCCCCCAAAUCAGUUUUUCUCUCGCUUCCCACCCCCGUCCUUCCCCAAUUUGACUCUAUUUUCUCCAAAUUGACUCCGUCGGUCGGCCUUUGCUACUUCGGCCGUCCAUUGCAAUUGAGCUGAACUCCGAGAUUGAAUUGGGUUAGAGUAAUUGGUGGAUUUUUAGUUUAUAUCGGCAAUACCUCCUCCUUCUAACUCUGAUUUGUAAAAUAUAUGCUACAGUUUUCACAUUUUGCUUUGAAGAUCUUCUUGUGUUCUUAGUCUAUGAAGCUGUUCUUUGAGAAGCUAAUGCGUGUAAAGGUACUCCGAGAUACGUAUUUACAUUUGUUUAUCAUGUAGGUAGGAGUUUGAGAAGAUUGAAGAUUUUGCUUCCAGGCUACCAGUUGAGAGUUGGAACUGUUGCAAACUACAUACGAUACUUAUGUUAUAGUGGCUAAUCUUCAUAAAGAAUAUGUUUCUUCAAAACAAAAGGUCUGUGUUGGUUGUAUAUCUCCUUACAAGGCUCAAGUUUUUGCUAUUCAACAAAUUCUUGGCAAGAAAUAUAGCACUGACGUCAAGAGUGACUUCUCUGUGAAUCAGCGGAUCAGUUGGUUUUCUGUCGAAUCUUCAGAGAGCAAAUGUUGCAUUGACGCGAGCAAGGAAAUAGCUCAACGUUGGUUAACAGUGGUUCCAUAUGGAAGAAUCUAGUCGUUGAUGCUAAGGCGCGUGGUUGUUACUUUGAUGUUACUGACAACUACAGAUUGAAUCAGGCAAUUUUGAAUGCAACCAUUGAACUUGACAAG